Molecule: regulatory RNA element, 102 nt
Organism: Vibrio parahaemolyticus RIMD 2210633
Lineage: Bacteria; Pseudomonadati; Pseudomonadota; Gammaproteobacteria; Vibrionales; Vibrionaceae
Rfam family: Glycine riboswitch aptamer
About the family: This family represents the bacterial glycine riboswitch. Glycine riboswitches usually consist of two metabolite-binding aptamers domains with similar structures in tandem. The aptamers cooperatively bind glycine to regulate the expression of downstream genes.
Source: Rfam
GGAGGAACCUCUGGAGAGAACCGUUAAAUCGGUCGCCGAAGGAGCAAGUCCUGCACAUGUGUGCGGGGUGAAACUCUCAGGCAAAAGGACAGAGGAGUGGAA